GUCACACAUGUGCAAGUCUCAAGUAAGUCUUAAGUCUUACCUUCAAGUCUCAAGUAAGUCCCAAGUAUUUUUUUCUUGGGCAAGUCAAUCCAAGUCAAGUCCGGUAGUAAGUCAAGUCAAGUCCAAGUCAAGUCACCUUAAUAUUGUUAUUUUACCUGCAGAAUCUGAUCUUAAUAAAGUUAAAAGACAAGAUAUAAGUAACUGUCAGUAAAUUAAAAUAAUUUGGAUUUGCAUUGUAAAUACUCAUGUUCAGUAAAAUACAUCAUGGAAUCAAACAAAA
Carassius carassius (crucian carp) is the source of this 280-nucleotide long non-coding RNA. RefSeq lists it as uncharacterized. The record is from RefSeq and is a predicted model, not a curated record. NCBI's taxonomy places the organism in Eukaryota, Metazoa, Chordata, Actinopteri, Cypriniformes, Cyprinidae. The transcript is spliced from 2 exons.